GACGAACGCUGGCGGCGUGCUUAACACAUGCGAGUCGAACGGAAAGGCCCUGCUUUUGUGGGGUGCUCGAGUGGCGAACGGGUGAGUAACACGUGAGUAACCUGCCCUUGACUUUAGGAUAACUUCAGGAAACUGGGGCUAAUACCGGAUAGGAGCUCCUGCUGCAUGGUGGGGGUUGGAAAGUUUCGGCGGUUGGGGAUGGACUCGCGGCUUAUCAGCUUGUUGGUGGGGUAGUGGCUUACCAAGGCUUUGACGGGUAGCCGGCCUGAGAGGGUGACCGGCCACAUUGGGACUGAGAUACGGCCCAGACUCCUACGGGAGGCAGCAGUGGGGAAUAUUGCACAAUGGGCGGAAGCCUGAUGCAGCAACGCCGCGUGCGGGAUGACAGCCUUCGGGUUGUAAACCGCUUUCGCCUGUGACGAAGCGUGAGUGACGGUAAUGGGUAAAGAAGCACCGGCUAACUACGUG
Molecule: ribosomal RNA, 468 nt
Filed under: uncultured bacterium
Lineage: Bacteria
Description: partial 16S ribosomal RNA
Rfam family: Bacterial small subunit ribosomal RNA
Source: RNAcentral